RNAcentral lists this ribosomal RNA (515 nucleotides) under Penicillium sp. HKF47. RNAcentral's name for it is "partial 18S ribosomal RNA". It matches the Rfam family "Eukaryotic small subunit ribosomal RNA", at positions 1071 to 1590 of the family's 1831-position model. The record is from RNAcentral. Lineage: Eukaryota; Fungi; Ascomycota; Eurotiomycetes; Eurotiales; Aspergillaceae.
AUGNCCCGUUCNNCACCUNACGAGAAUCCAAAAGUUUUUUGGNUUUCUGGGGNNNAGNAUGGGUCGCCAAGGGCUGAAACUUAAANGAAAAUUGNCGGNAAGGGGCACCCACCANGGCGUGGAGNNNGCGGGCUUUAAUUNGACUCNACNNNGGGGAAACUCACCAGGUCCCAGACAAAAUAAGGAUUGACAGAUUGAGAGCUCUUUCUUGAUCUUUUUGGAUGGUGGUGGCAUGGCCGUUCUUAGUUGGUGGAGUGAUUUGUCUGCUUAAUUGCGAUAACGAACGAGACCUCGGCCCUUAAAUAGCCCGGUCCGCAUUUGCGGGCCGCUGGCUUCUUAGGGGGACUAUCGGCUCAAGCCGAUGGAAGUGCGCGGCAAUAACAGGUCUGUGAUGCCCUUAGAUGUUCUGGGCCGCACGCGCGCUACACUGACAGGGCCAGCGAGUACAUCACCUUAACCGAGAGGUUUGGGUAAUCUUGUUAAACCCUGUCGUGCUGGGGAUAGAGCAUUGCAAU